AUGAGCAUGCCAAAAUAUAUGGAAGGUUUAGGCUUUUGAGACUUCGAAAUCUUUAAUCUAGCGCUGUUGGCCAGGCAGGCAUGGCGUAUACAUGAAAACCCGGACUCUCUGAGUGCUAGGAUUUUAAAGGCAGUCUAUUACCGCAACACAGAAUUUUUGUCAGCUGAGUUGGGCAAUCACCCAUCUCAGAUUUGGAGAUCAAUUUUUGAAGGUCGGGACACAUUGAAGGUGGGACUUAUCAGGAGGAUAAGGACAGGUGCUACGACAAACAUCUGGGAUAUGAAUUGGAUCCCGAGAGCAGAAAACAUGCGCCCAAUCGUGUCACUGAUUGCCCAACCACCUCAGUUGGUCUCUGAGUUAUUGCACCGGAAUAACGCAAGGUGGAAUGCACAACUAGUUGAGCAAAUUUUUUUGCCUUAUGAUACAGCCGCUAUCUUGCAGAUUCCAGUGUGCACGUGA
RNAcentral lists this ribosomal RNA (459 nucleotides) under Triticum aestivum (bread wheat). Its description in RNAcentral is "partial small subunit ribosomal RNA". Lineage: Eukaryota; Viridiplantae; Streptophyta; Magnoliopsida; Poales; Poaceae. The record is from RNAcentral.